Long non-coding RNA from Arvicola amphibius (Eurasian water vole), 209 nucleotides. RefSeq lists it as uncharacterized. The transcript is spliced from 3 exons. The record is from RefSeq and is a predicted model, not a curated record. NCBI's taxonomy places the organism in Eukaryota, Metazoa, Chordata, Mammalia, Rodentia, Cricetidae.
AGAACAUCUAUCUCUCCAGGCCACCAUUCCCAGAAUGACAACUGGCUCCUGCACUUACCACCAUGUGCCACACCCUGAGGGACUGACCGUGUCAACCUGUAGACAGCAUGAGACCCAGAGAAGACUGUGCGACUGGUGUGGUGGUCCAUCUCUCCAGCUGUCUUCCUAAUUAGAACCAUCCUGGGUAUCUUCUAUAUUCAAGAAUGUGU